GAGGGUAUGGCUCAGUGGUAGAGCACAUGCCUAGCAUACAUGAGGUCCUGGGUUCAAUCCCCAGUACCUCCA
This 72-nucleotide transfer RNA is filed under the name Camelus bactrianus (Bactrian camel). It matches the Rfam family "tRNA". From Rfam's summary of the family: Transfer RNA (tRNA) molecules are approximately 80 nucleotides in length. Their secondary structure includes four short double-helical elements and three loops (D, anti-codon, and T loops). Lineage: Eukaryota; Metazoa; Chordata; Mammalia; Artiodactyla; Camelidae. The record is from Rfam by way of RNAcentral. RNAcentral also lists the same sequence under 2 other names.